This 977-nucleotide ribosomal RNA is filed under the name uncultured bacterium. RNAcentral describes it as "bacterial SSU rRNA". It matches the Rfam family "Bacterial small subunit ribosomal RNA", at positions 69 to 1062 of the family's 1533-position model. The record is from RNAcentral.
GGAAGCUUUCGGGUGGAAUGAACUUAACUUAGCGGCGGACGGGUGAGUAACGCGUGGACAACCUACCCUGUACAGGGGGAUAACAAUGGGAAACCAUUGCUAAUACCCCAUAACACCUUUUAGGGGCAUCCCUUUAAGGUCAAAGAAUUUCGGUACAGGAUGGGUCCGCGUCUGAUUAGCUAGUUGGUGAGGUAAUGGCUCACCAAGGCGACGAUCAGUAGCCGGCCUGAGAGGGUGAACGGCCACACUGGAACUGAGACACGGUCCAGACUCCUACGGGAGGCAGCAGUGGGGAAUAUUGCACAAUGGGCGAAAGCCUGAUGCAGCAACGCCGCGUGAGCGAUGAAGGCUUUCGGGUCGUAAAGCUCUGUCCUAAGGGAAGAUAAUGACGGUACCUUAGGAGGAAGCCCCGGCUAACUACGUGCCAGCAGCCGCGGUAAUACGUAGGGGGCAAGCGUUAUCCGGAAUCAUUGGGCGUAAAGGGUGCGUAGGCGGCCCUAUAGGUCAGAGGUCAAAGGCUACGGCUCAACCGUAGUAAGCCUUUGAAACUGUAGGGCUUGAGUGCAGGAGAGGAGAGUGGAAUUCCUAGUGUAGCGGUGAAAUGCGUAGAUAUUAGGAGGAACACCAGUGGCGAAGGCGACUCUCUGGACUGCAACUGACGCUGAGGCACGAAAGCGUGGGGAGCGAACAGGAUUAGAUACCCUGGUAGUCCACGCCGUACACGAUGAGUGCUAGGUGUCGGGGGUCGAACCUCGGUGCCGCAGCUAACGCAUUAAGCACUCCGCCUGGGGAGUACGUUCGCAAGAAUGAAACUCAAAGGAAUUGACGGGGACCCGCACAAGCAGCGGAGCAUGUGGUUUAAUUCGAAGCAACGCGAAGAACCUUACCUGGACUUGACAUCCCUCGGACCGCUUUUUAACCAAAGCCUUCCCUUCGGGGACUGAGGUGACAGGUGGUGCAUGGUUGUCGUCAGCUCG